UUUGAUCCUGGCUCAGGAUGAACGCUGGCGGUCUGCUUAACACAUGCAAGUCGAACGGGCUCUUCGGAGCUAGUGGCGGACGGGUGAGUAACGCGUGAGAAUCUGCCUCCAGGACGGGGACAACAGAGGGAAACCUCUGCUAAUCCCGGAUGAGCCGAAAGGUAAAACGAUUUAUCGCCUGGAGAUGAGCUCGCGUCUGAUUAGCUAGUUGGCGGGGUAAAAGCCCACCAAGGCGACGAUCAGUAGCUGGUCUGAGAGGACGAUCAGCCACACUGGGACUGAGACACGGCCCAGACUCCUACGGGAGGCAGCAGUGGGGAAUUUUCCGCAAUGGGCGAAAGCCUGACGGAGCAAGACCGCGUGGGGGAGGAAGGCUCUUGGGUUGUAAACCCCUUUUCUCAAGGAAGAAGUUCUGACGG
Molecule: ribosomal RNA, 419 nt
Filed under: uncultured bacterium
Lineage: Bacteria
Description: bacterial SSU rRNA
Rfam family: Bacterial small subunit ribosomal RNA
Source: RNAcentral